CGCGUAGGUGGUAGUGUAAGUCUGGGGUGGAAUGCCGGGGCUUAACCCUGGAAUUGCCUUGGAAACUGCAUUACUUGAGUCAGUGAGGGGAGGGUAGAAUUCCUGGUGUAGCGGUGAAAUGCGUAGAUAUCAGGAGGAAGGCCUGUGGCGAAGGCGGCCCUCUGGCGCUGGACUGACACUGAGGCGCGAAAGCGUGGGGAGCAAACAGGAUUAGAUACCCUGGUAGUCCACGCCCUAAACGGUGGGCACUAGGUGUAGGGCUCGUAGGGGUUCUGUGCCGAAGGGAAACCAUUAAGUGCCCCGCCUGGGGAGUACGGCCGCAAGGUUGAA
RNAcentral lists this ribosomal RNA (330 nucleotides) under uncultured bacterium. RNAcentral's name for it is "bacterial SSU rRNA". It matches the Rfam family "Bacterial small subunit ribosomal RNA", at positions 568 to 898 of the family's 1533-position model. The record is from RNAcentral.